GCCUUCAUGAAGCCGGAAUUGCUAGUAAUGGCAGGUCAGCAUACUGCCGUGAAUACGUUCCCGGGCCUUGUACACACCGCCCGUCGCACCAUGAGAGUUGGGAAUACCCGAAGCCUGUGAGCUAACUAAUAGAGGCAGCAGUCGAAGGUAGAAUCAAUGAUUGGGGUGAAGUCGUAACAAGGUACC
Molecule: ribosomal RNA, 186 nt
Filed under: uncultured bacterium
Lineage: Bacteria
Description: partial 16S ribosomal RNA
Rfam family: Bacterial small subunit ribosomal RNA
Source: RNAcentral